AUAUCCUAACCAUUUGUUAUUAGUCAAGCACGUAAUGACAUAAAUGAAUGAUCUGUUGGUUUUGUCAAAUAAUGAAAUUUGAUUCUUAGCAGAUCCGGGAGAUUUGUUUAACCAAGGGAUAUCAAAUAUAUAAUCGCGUUAUAUAUGUGCAAUAAACAGUUGUUUAGUACACUGUGGAACAGAUCUGUACUGUAUUUAUGCCAUCAGAGACCAGAGAGGCCACACUUAGAUGGGGUUUUCUAAUGAGAAGAGAUUCUCUUGUCUAAGCGAAAUUCGGAUUCGCAAUGGAAAGCAUACAAUCGUUUUCAUAAUUUUAGCCAUACUAGAAUCUUCUCUUUAAAAAUAGGGUUUUUGCACUAGAUGACUAUGCUACUUUAUUUAAUUAAGGAAACGGACAUGAGCCUGUUCACUUUCUCUUAAUAUCGAAAAUAUCCCUAUUUUCGUAAUAUAUUUUUCAUACAGGCUCCUAAAUUAAUUAUUGUUUUUUUUCCUGUAACGUAAGUUAACUCAACAUCUCUUGGCUAUCUCUCUCUUUAUCUUUCUUUUUCUCCCUCUUCCUCAUUUGAUCAUUGCUUCUUCCCUAAACAUAUAAUUGAUAAUUUUAUCUCUCUCUCACUCACUGAUUUUGUUUGUUUUGGGAUUGGAGGAGGCAAAGCGUGCGUCCAUGGAGAUGAGAGACAUAUACAUAUUGGUUGUCGUGAGCAAGAAGAGACGUCUCGAGCUCGCAUCCGUCUCGACCCAUCGUCACCGGUCUCGAGCUUGCCCACGUCACCACCGGUCUCGAGCUUGCCCCUGUCACCACCGGUCUCAAACUCGUCCCCGUCCUCAUCGGUAUCUGGUACUGGAGAUGGAGACAGAACAGAGGAAGACAUCGAGAAAGAGAGGCAAAGGAGGAAGGAGGAGGCGGCAGCAAAGAGAUUAGGUUUAGUUUAAUUAGGUUUAGGUUAAUUAUGUUUUGGUUUAUUAGCUGAGCAGGGCGAUUUCAGAGCUUCCGCGGUGGAUUGCGUGGAGGAGAGCUCCGACUUUGAGCGUGACGAAGAUUGAUAAAUAAUAAGAUGUUUUAUGAGCCUCAUGUUUUACAAUACGUAAAUUGAUCUAUUUUUUUAUCA
Molecule: long non-coding RNA, 1109 nt
Organism: Brassica napus (rape)
Lineage: Eukaryota; Viridiplantae; Streptophyta; Magnoliopsida; Brassicales; Brassicaceae
Exons: 2
Source: RefSeq, a predicted model, not a curated record